AGCCAAUGGAAAACUCUGGUGGAUAUCAUCAGGCUGCAGAGGGGAUCCUGGAAAAACUGGGAGAAGCCAGAGAAAGGCAGAACACCUUCAGGGUAAAUAUGUAUUGAACACUUCCCACGGCGUCAGCCCUGCGCUAAGGCUGCCAUAUUAGGAGAGGACUUGGGAGGAAUGAUGCUCACAAGCUCUGCUCCAAAAUGAUACACUACUCUUCCUCCUUGAGGUAUAUGGAACUGGGAAAACCUCGAUAUGUUAGAGGCUGGGAAGACCAAUAUCUGGCCAAAUGAAAAGGCAAGUUUAUUAGGAUGGUGAUGAUCCAAUAAAAGGAAUUACUUCAGCAGGACCUGGAAAAGGACACACACUUUCAUAUGGACAAAUUAGAGAGAGAGAAGAGAGAGAGGCACAUGGAUGUAGCAUACACUGAAAAUUCUGUGUACGUAUCUUCUAUUUGCUGAUUGGGCCAGCUCUCCAACCUCUCUCAGCAACACACAACCUUGCACAACCUCAGAAAUCACCGUUCACCCCUGCAGCAGAUCCUUGGUAGAUUUCAUGGAAUCUUGCCCUUACACAAGCCUGGUUAACCCCCAGCAGA
This is a long non-coding RNA of Lynx canadensis (Canada lynx), 589 nucleotides long. RefSeq lists it as uncharacterized. The transcript is spliced from 4 exons. The record is from RefSeq and is a predicted model, not a curated record. NCBI's taxonomy places the organism in Eukaryota, Metazoa, Chordata, Mammalia, Carnivora, Felidae.